RNAcentral lists this ribosomal RNA (143 nucleotides) under uncultured bacterium. RNAcentral's name for it is "partial 16S ribosomal RNA". It matches the Rfam family "Bacterial small subunit ribosomal RNA", at positions 374 to 509 of the family's 1533-position model. The record is from RNAcentral.
GGCGCAAGCCUGAUGGAGCAACACCGCGUGAGUGAAGAAGGGUUUCGGCUCGUAAAGCUCUGUUGUUGGAGAAGAACGUGCGUGAGAGUAACUGUUCACGCAGUGACGGUAUUCAACCAGAAAGUCACGGCUAACUACGUGCC